AAAUCGUAAUCUCAACAUUCUGGUGACCCCGACGUGAUACUCACGUAUUGCGUUUGCGUCUCACCACAUUAACAAAACAUUUUGCACGCAUUCGAUCUUAACAAUAUUGAUAACUUACAUUGUUAAAAAUUGCUUUUUUAGUACAAAAGAGUAAAACUGUUUUCUUUUUACAGUGCUCGAAAUAGCGCUAAAAUAUUGCAAGAAUCCAUUUUGAACGAGACAAUAAGAGAAGAAGUGUUAAAAUAACAGAAGACGACAAAAGAGAAAAGAAGAAAGUAAUUCCCUGGACAGAAAAAUAAAGAGAAAGAAGAAAUAAUGAAAGAUAUAUAUCAAGAUGUGUUGAAGGAGAUCGACGGCGUGAACAGGCCUCUGGUAGCAAUAACUCUGCUAGGCGCGGCCCCUAUCGACGCCAUGGGCCACGCGGAGGGCGUGGGGGAAGAUGUAGACGGGCCCCAAGCCCUCCUCAUGAAAGAGGAGGUAGGUGGAAGCCCCCCUCAGCAAAGAGAUUUGUUUUCUUUAGUUUAAAUCCUGGCACCUAGUUUCCUCCUACUUUCAAUUUGUCUAUUUGUCAGAAUCAAUUGCUCAACUGUCAAAAUUACAAAUCAAUUCAUUAAAUUUUGAAAAUGAAUGAAAACAUCGUAUCAAAGUUCCCAAAGUUCCUACAAAUCUGUCGAUCAGAAGCGAAUGCAAAGUAAACACAAAUGAGUCGGUACGAAGAUGAAAUAAUGUCCUUAGCGGAUUCCCGGUCUUAUGCACAAACGUCAAUAGCCAAUUUUGACAAUUUGGCAGCCUCGCAAAAACUUACGUCUUGCCAUGAACUAUUAUCACAGUCUGCUGAGUUAUCCACAAAUGAAAGUGAAUUUCGUAUCACUGAUACACAGUUAAUUAAAUGUUGCAAUAAAGCGGAAGUUAUGAUGAAAGAAGUAAAAGACGCACCAGAAAGAGCUCGUGAUGACAAGAACAAUGAAACAACAGUAGACAUAAUAUUUGAGGACUUUUCUACAACGCCUUUUAACAGUCCUAUAGUAUAGCCUGAGAGUAAAUUAAGAAAUUUGGAACGGAGCCCUUUAUUUAUAUUACUGCAGAAACCGAAACGUUGCUAUAGCCGUAAAUUUAAAGAAAAGGCGAAAUCAAAUUUGGAGGAAAAAUUCAAAGCCGCUAUUGAGAACUAUAUGAGUACAUGUUCAUCUUUCUUGUUGCAAUGCAGAAAGUAUAAGUAUCUUCUCAAUGUUUGUAAUGAAUUCGAUGGCACUUUAAUUGACGAACACAUCGUAAAUUUGAAAUUCAAAAAGUCAUAUGAUU
Molecule: long non-coding RNA, 1302 nt
Organism: Glossina fuscipes
Lineage: Eukaryota; Metazoa; Arthropoda; Insecta; Diptera; Glossinidae
Exons: 4
Source: RefSeq, a predicted model, not a curated record